Molecule: long non-coding RNA, 601 nt
Filed under: Homo sapiens (human)
Lineage: Eukaryota; Metazoa; Chordata; Mammalia; Primates; Hominidae
Description: HSALNT0185807
Source: RNAcentral
CCCGAGCAUAGAGGAAAUAUUUGGCUUUUCAGUGCAGACUGGCCUGAGGUUUUUAAAUAUGUUCUUUGUUGUUUUUUUUUUUUUUUUUUUGAGACAGAGUCUCGCUCUGUCGCCCAGGCUGGAGUGCAGUGGCGUUUUCUUGGCUCACUGCAAGCUCUGCCUCCCGGGUUGACACCAUUUUCCUGCCUCAGCCUCCUGAGUAACUGGGACUACAGGCACCCGCCACCACGCCUGGCUAUUUUUUUCCAUUUUUAGUAGAGACGGGGUUUCACCAUGUUAGCCAGGAUGGUCUCGAUCUCCUGACCUGGUGAUCCGCCCGCCUCGGCCUCCCAAAGUGCUGGGAUUACAGGCAUGAGCCACCGCGCCCGGCCUUAAACACGUUGUUUAAUACAGCCUCACUCAUGGUUUCCUGAGGCAUCUGAAGAAUGAAACACCUCAGGGAAGACAGAGAAGAGGUCACGUGAACACACCAAAAAGAUGGCCAUUGUCCAUGAGCUGGAAAGAGAGCCCUCACCAGAACCCAGCCAUCCUGCACCCUGAUCAUGGACUUCUAGCCUCGAGAAUUGUGAGAAAAUAAAUCUCUGUUAUUUGACUACCUGUG